GACGAACGCUGGCGGCGUGCUUAACACACGCAAGUCGAACGGAAAGGCCCUGCUUUUGUGGGGUGCUCGAGUGGCGAACGGGUGAGUAACACGUGAGUAACCUGCCCUUGACUUUGGGAUAACUUCAGGAAACUGGGGCUAAUACCGGAUAGGAGCUCCUGCUGCAUGGUGGGGGUUGGAAAGUUUCGGCGGUUGGGGAUGGACUCGCGGCUUAUCAGCUUGUUGGUGGGGUAGUGGCUUACCAAGGCUUUGACGGGUAGCCGGCCUGAGAGGGGGACCGGCCACAUUGGGACUGAGAUACGGCCCAGACUCCUACGGGAGGCAGCAGUGGGGAAUAUUGCACAAUGGGCGGAAGCCUGAUGCAGCAACGCCGCGUGCGGGAUGACGGCCUUCGGGUUGUAAACCGCUUUCGCCUGUGACGAAGCGUGAGUGACGGUAAUGGGUAAAGAAGCACCGGCUAACUACGUG
This 468-nucleotide ribosomal RNA is filed under the name uncultured bacterium. Its description in RNAcentral is "partial 16S ribosomal RNA". It matches the Rfam family "Bacterial small subunit ribosomal RNA", at positions 28 to 507 of the family's 1533-position model. The record is from RNAcentral.